RNAcentral lists this transfer RNA (73 nucleotides) under Aeoliella mucimassa. RNAcentral's name for it is "Planctomycetes bacterium Pan181 tRNA-Gly". It matches the Rfam family "tRNA". From Rfam's summary of the family: Transfer RNA (tRNA) molecules are approximately 80 nucleotides in length. Their secondary structure includes four short double-helical elements and three loops (D, anti-codon, and T loops). Lineage: Bacteria; Pseudomonadati; Planctomycetota; Planctomycetia; Pirellulales; Lacipirellulaceae. The record is from RNAcentral.
GCGGGAGUAACUCAGUGGUAGAGUGCUAGCUUCCCAAGCUGGACGUCGCGGGUUCGAAUCCCGUCUCCCGCUC